AAGAGCAAGAAAUACGUUUCUUCAAAACAGAGGAACAAAGGAGAAAAGCAAUCAAGAUCUGCUGGUGGAGAAAUCGGUGGAAAUCAAAAAUUCAGAUCUGGGUUGUUCAGUUCUUCAAAUCAUUCUUCUAAAAGCCUCUCCCUCUGAUCUCUUCUUCAAAUCAUUCUUCUAAAAUCCACUUUUCAAAGCAAUUUGGUUUAUCAAUGGUGUUCAAGCAAUCGGGCUCAUCAAUGGACGGAUUUGGGUUGUGGUAAAUAAGAAGAUAAAGUAGAUUUGGAUUUCGCCAACAAUUCCAACUGCGGAUCUAGGUUGAUUUGAUUUUGAAUUAUUUUAAAUUGUAGAUCUGGGUUGCGGUGAAGAAGAAGAAGAUGUAGUUUCAGAUUUUUGAUUACUAUUUUAAAUUUUGGAUCUGGGUUGAUUUGAUUUUUGAUAUAUAUUUCGACUAGUUCUAACUUUUGAUUACUAUGUUGAAAUAUAUUUGGAUUUGUUGUGAAG
Molecule: long non-coding RNA, 495 nt
Filed under: Panax ginseng (ginseng)
Lineage: Eukaryota; Viridiplantae; Streptophyta; Magnoliopsida; Apiales; Araliaceae
Description: long non-coding RNA (PGIN_LNC014658)
Source: RNAcentral